CUCGGGUCUGGUGUAUGGGCUGCACUCACUCUCUCUGGCUGUUUUGUGUAUCCCGAUCUGACAGCCCACAUGCCUCUGCUGCACGCCUUGGCCACAGGACACAGAGCACUGAGAAGACACAGGAAGCCAAGAUGUGAAAAGCUGUGCCCCUGCCCAACACUGACUCACAGACUGCGCUCUGCCAGCUGCCUUGCCUUCCCUGCGAUAGAUGGAUAGCCCCUGAAACAGUAAUUCCAACUACGCCCUCCCUGCCAUAGGCUCUUUCCGAGAGGGUGAUGGUUCCUUCAUCAUCAAGAAGUCUGAACACAACCCUGGUGCACGCGCCUGAUUGAGAAGGGCUGAACACCAAAAGAGAAGGAGUUCUCCGGGCUGUACCUUUGCUGAGGAUGCGGACAUAGCCAUGACGAUGGAGUUCCGCACGGACUUGGCAAGUUCAUCACAAAGAACCCAGGAGGAAGAAGAGGGGGAUGUGGAGGUUACCCAUUAUGGCUGUUUGUAAUACGGCUUAAAGACAGUAAGGAUGCUGGUGCUUUCCAGGAAAGGACUGAUGAUGAUGGUAUAAGAACCCACUCUGCCUACAAGAAAAGUACGGAACCAGCUGGAAGAAAAAGAGGGUAGUGGGUGAGACACCAGCUCCAAAACCCUUAGUCGGAUAGUCCAAUGGUAGGUGAAGAAGUGUCUGAGAAGCGGACUGGGAGGUGGCUCAGGGAUUAAAACACUUGCGUUGUAAACAUGAGAACUGGUAUUUAAGACCCCAGCCCUGUGUAAAUGUGAGUUGGGCAUAGUGGUCACCUGUCGUUCAGAAGGAUGAGACAGGGAUCCCUAGGGCAAGCUGGCUCGCUAAGACUAGCUGUAUUGGAGAGUUCUGGGUUCGUCUGAGACUCUGACUCAAUGAAUAAGGUCAAGGGCAACAGCAGAAGACUGGGGAUUCUGUACAUGUGCACAUCUGUGCAGGAGCGCGUGCAGGCACAUGUACUUGCACAUUUGAAUACUCACACCCACGCUCCUGUGUGCCCCACACACAUACAUACACAAAAGGGAGAAAAAUAAGAAGGGUCUGAGUCAGUAACGGAUGGGCAAGCUAGGAUUGGUGGGAACAGUAACCCAAAAUUUCUUGAAACAUGAAGGUAGUAGACUGUGAACAAGGGCUUGGACGGGAGGGAUCGAGGCCAUCUGGAGAUGGUUGUCAGCUAGCAGCUGUCAAGCCUUGGCAGUCCCACUUGAUGUGGCCUGUGUUAGUAUCCAAGGUCUGGGAAGCUUCAGUCACCACCAGGAAGGCUUCUGUAGGAAAGCAGUUCGUCGGUUUGUCUCUUGACUGUGGUGCGCGCCUGCAGAACUGCAUCCCUCUCUAGCCAUGCACCCAUCAGUUAUCUAGAAGACAUGGCCGCACUGUGCUUUUCAUUGUCUCCUCCGGCCUGCCCUGCUUUCUCCGUCUGUCUGACACUUCCCCCUUUCUCCUUUGGUGAAAAGGGAACAUCUUUCUUUAUGUAUAUGAAGCAGCUGUAAACUAGACCACACAGGUGGCCCCCUAUGUCCUUGGACUCUGAGUCCACAGAUUCAACCAAUCUUGGAUCAAAAAUAUCUGGGGGAAAACAGUUACACCUGCACUUAACAUGUAGAAACUUUUCCUUGUUCUUGUUCCCUAAACAGCACAGAAAUAUCUGCAGGACAUUUACAUUGAUUUAAAGGAUUAUGGAAGACAUUCAUAGGUUGUAUAGAAAUACACUAUCUUUUAUAAAGGAACUGAAACUUCUCUGUCUACAGAACAUAGGGAUUCCAGCAAGGGGUUCUGGAACUCUCCAAGCCCCCAAGAUACCAAGGGAGAACUGAAAAAAUAAUAUCCUACAUUUUAGGAAGAAGCCUGGGUAACCAAGUAGCAUUUGGGUGGAUACUAAGCCCACCCCAGAAGUGAGACAUGCAUAAAUAUUUGAGCCUGUUUGCAGAGAUCGGUGUCUGAACAGAUGGACAAAAGGUCACUUUAAACAUGAAUUGCAUCAGAUGCUCAUCCAGCUUCAUAUUGCUCUACUGAGAGAGCAAACAGCAUUUCAUUCUUUCCAACAUGCUUUAUUCAAAUCAUUUAUCUCUUUCCUCAUUUCCUCCUUCUGCCCACAUCUUGGUAAAGAAAUGUCUCAACAAUACCACUGAGAAGGGAUGAGAGGAAAAGAAAUCAAGAGUGACAUGUACGCAAAAGAACGACUUGACAUUAGGAAGAAUUAUGCUUAUUUUUUUUUUUUUUUGGUUCUGUGUCACAAAUUGAAAUUAUUGCAGCACUACUCUAGGAUUUAUUGGAGAGGGUAUCCAAAGGCUAAGGAAGAAGGUUCUGGUUUGGUAAGUGCCAUACUUCCCUCUGUUAUACUACUAAAGACAUCUAACACUGUUUGCAGAUGUCUCCUUGCGUUGGUGAUCAGCGGAAUUGUGAAAUCACAGCAAACACACAUCUCAAAUGCAUAGGUUCCUGACAGAAGCUCUCUUAUCUUGCCACGCAUCUGUUCCUGCUAUAGAUAUUUCCAUCUUAAACAAUAGGAACACCUUAUUUCCAUUUUCCUAGUCCAUAAAACUUGCAGUCCCUUGACUCCAUUAUGUCUUUUGUAUGCUAUAUCCAGACUUCAGCUAACUUUAGCUCUAGCUCAGAAAUAUCUCGGGAACUGCCCCCCCCCAUGCCUCCUCAUGGUUCCUGCGGCCACAGUUAUCUAAGCCACUGUCGUCCUUAUUCAGCCGCUGUUGUUGUCACGCCCGUCACCACAUGGCUUCCUAGAAAGGGGUACCCCUGCUUCCUUCCUUGAAUUCAGAAGCCGGAGUCAACCUUUUAAAAUAAACCCAUGUUCCUGUUCAGCCCACGCCAUACCUCCCUAGGGGUGUCUUAUCUUUCUCUCGGGGAUCUAACCCUUGCCUCCCUCUGCUCACACCACAGUUUAUCUCCCCGUCCCCCAUUCCCUCCGUUAUUCCUGUAUCCUGUCUCUACCUCCUCUACUUCAGCUCGCCUGGCCUCUCUGAAUCACUAAAUGCAGCCCACUCCUGCCUCCAGAAGCAUCCUGUUUCUGGAUGCCACUUGGUUUUCUUUAGUAUUUUCCCUUGUCUAUGUCAAAUGGAGAUUAUCGGAGACUUCCUCAGUUCUUAAAACAAUAGUUCCCUUCUCCUCUUCCAUGCAGAUCCCUACUCUUUUCCCCUUAAUCUAGUUUUACCUAUACAUUUUAUCACUUUCUUUCAAGAUCUCUAUUCUAGACUUUAUGUUGUUGUUAUUUAUAGGCUUCCCUAUAAAUAACACUUAAUAACACUUCACUUCUUAGAAUAUACACUUAAUAAUUUUUGAGACUGUGUGUGUAUGCGUGUGUGUGUGUGCGUGCGCGCUCAUGUGCACAAUAGUGUGUGUGUUCUGUUCAAUCCCUAGUGACUAAAAGCAUGUCUGGAGUAUAGAAAACACCCAAAUAAUUAUACAGUACACAAAUGAGUGCAUCAUUGUAGGGGACCUAAGCUACAGCCAUUUAUCCCAAGAACACUGAAGUAAUAAGCCCACAUUUUCACAAGGCUCAGUCUAAGGACAAACAAAUAGCAAUUGUUAUCUCUAAUCUCUUGUGUCUAUUCACCUCCAAACUGGCUAAUUACCCUUGUGGUUUAGUAUUUAAUUCACUACUAUAAAGCUGAGCACAGUACAGGGGACAACUAAGAGGAAGCUUAUCUGAGAUUGUAAUAGCAAACAAACAGCAAAAGGCAGAAACUAGAAACUCAGCACUAUGCUACCCUCAAAUGCUAGGCAAGCACUGAAAGUUCAGCUUGAGCUGAAAGUGGUGGCACACGCUGUCUGUAAGACCAGCAUUCAGGAAGCCCAGACAGAAGGGUCAUCCUAAAUUCAAGGCCUGCCUGGGUUACAUAAUGAGAACCUGUCUCAAACAACAGCAAUGAUAAUCAAGAAGAAAGAAAAGAAGGACGGAAGGGGAAGGAGGGAAUAACGGAUGAUGACUUCUGAUUUUCCAGGGAGAAAUAUAUAUAUAAUGUAAAUAUAUAUUGCAAUAGGCAAGAGCUAGGGAUGCAGUUUCAGUGGUAGAGAGCUCUCCUAGUAUGGAUGAAAUCCCAUGCUUGAGUCACAGCAUCGAGUAAAAGCAGGUCUGGUGAUAGACCAGUUAUUCUCUUGCUACAUAGAGAGUUCAAGGUGAGCCUGGGUUACAUGAGACUGUCUCCAUGAGAGGAUCAAGAGGAGGGGUGAGGAGGUGAAGGAGGGGGAAGAAGAGGAAGAGGAGGAGGGGAGGAUGCCCCCAGCACACCUAUCUAUUUGGCAAGGUCCUAAUUCUCCAGCUGUUAUGAUGAGGCCAUGUCCAGAAAGACAGCACAUCCUUUGUUUCCAGGACAGACACAGGAAUGAAUCCUCAACCUUCCAGAGUGAUGUUAAUAGUCAGGGAAAAAUGAAGUCAUUUCAAAGUCAGUGCUCAGAGAAUGCUGGGUGACCAAUUCCAAUUUCCAAGGUCCCUAGAUAGCUUUAUUAAAGCAAGCGAAGUGUGAAAAAAAGAUCCAGUUCAAACAAUGCAAAUGUUCAGCUUCCCUCAACUAGUGAUAAGUAAAAUGGAGAAAAAUAAGACCUGGCUAAAACACACUUGGGGAACCUUUGGAUAUCAAAGAAUCAGCCUCAAGGAAUUUUCAAAAGCAGAAGUAGGGCUAAACCUUUUUCACCUGGCAAGGGGUGCUUUUCUUAAUGGAGCUUUUGAUGGAAGAUUUGAGUUGGCUCAAAACUCAGAGCUUUGGACUCCAUCAGAUAUUCAUCCAAAGCUUUCUGAGAAUGUAUUUAACCUUCUGAUGUCACAGUUUUCCUACCUGCACGAUAGACUUAAUCAAAUGUAUUCUGCAGUGUUGUAUAUAACACACAUGAUCUGGGCCAUGGCUCAAAGCACAGGUCCAAAAUUUGGGUGUCUUUGUAAUUGUUUCUGCAUCCCAGUCCAAACCAUCUGAUCAACUACAGAUGGGUACCUAGUGUGCCAAGUCAAGAAGUGUAAGCCAAUGGAUUGCCGAACAUAGACUGUUUGGGAGUGGAUUAAGUCAAGCAAGUAUGAUUUUCAAGUGGCUUCAUUGCUCAUCGUUUUUAGGGAAAAUCUGCACGUUAAAUCCCUAACCUUGAAUUACUGGCAAGAUUAUAUGUGCUCAAAGGUCAAAAUUAAAAUGAAUGAAUGAAUGAAUUUGAGACAUGGUCGCAUGUAUCCCAGGCUGGUCUUGAACUUCCUAGGUAGCUGAGGAUAACCUUAAGCUCCUGAUCCUUUUGCAUCUACAUACUGAGUGUUGAGCUGUGGCCAGGUCAUGCAACAUCAGGACUGGAGCCCAGGGCUCUGUGCACGCUAGGCAAACACUCCACCUACUGAGCUACUUCCCAGACCUUCUAACUUUAAUUUAAAGUACUCGUUUGGUAUGGUCCAUUAACAACUUAAGGUUCAAUUUAAUUGUAGAAAACUGCAUUCAUUUAUCUCAUGGGGAGUCAAAUAUGAAUGUCUGCUUUUCUCCAGUCUUCUUCCAUCAAAUUGUUUAAAUUUGGGGUGUGGGGGAUGCAUUAUUUCAUUACAUGUUAAACCCCAUUAUGCAAUUCCUUAGGAUAAUGGCAGUACCUGGAUUUUAUUUUAUUUGCUUUUCCCUACCAGCUGACUAUUUUAGCUAGCUAGCAUCCCAGCUUUAGUGGCACUUUGGUAGGGUCGACACACACAGACCUGGAGCCCCAUGUAGCUGGGGACAGUGGUGAGUGUGCCCAGCACAAAAUCACAGACUUACUGAAAACGUAAGGAAUUUGUGCGUGUGAUGAUUUUCACAAAGAUUUGUUUUUAGAUUUUAUUUACUUGUAUGUGUGUGUGUGUGUGUGUGUUUAAGUGAAUGUGUGUCAACUUGUUUGCCGAUGACUAUGGAGACUACAAGAGGGUGUUAGAUACCCCAAAGCUGGAGUUCCAGGAAGUCGUGAGGUGCUUGACUUGGGUGCUGGGAACCAAAUUCAGGUUCUCUGGAAAAGCCAUCUCUCCAGCCCCUCUGAUAUUUUUGUAAUGCAUUUGUAUAAGUCUUAAGUGUGAACUGUGAAGUUAGCAAUAUCAUUAGUAGGCAUUUGAGGGUCUGGAGUUUUGGUUGUAUUUGUGACCUUUUUUAAAAAGAGAAGAAAUACGACUUUCCUUUCGGAUCCAAGAAAUUCAUGGCCUACAAUGUUCUCUGCCUCUGUGACCUCAGAUUCACACCUUCCAAUCUGAGUCUAUUUGUCUGUAUUUGUGGCAUGGGUGGAGGACUGGCAGAUAUAUAGCAUUUGCCAUCUGCUAAAGCAGCAAGGAUUUGCAAAGAGAAAAAUGUGUGCAUCUGGAGGAACGGAACUCAGAAACUCUCUUUCCCAGAAAUUCAUGUACAGAAAAAGUCAAAGUCAUACAGCUUGAAUAACUGAUUCUUUGAAUAGUUUCCUCCAAUGAAUUAAAAACACAGAUGAGACAUAAUUAAUGUCCCGAGGUCACAAAGUAGCGAAAACUUGGCCAUCUGUGCAAGACAACCUUGCUCUUCCCAGCGAAGAGGAGGAGAAUAACUGUACAACCUCAAAGACUUUACUGACUCAAAAGUAGGGAUUUGGUAUCAAGUACAUUUGGAAAUAUUGAGGGUCAGUGACCCAGUGCUUAUAAAAACAUGAAAAGCCAAAUUCUGCCAUGAGAAAUCAAUAAAUUUAUCGGGCAGGUCAUUUUGCCAUCCUCCUAGCCCAUCAUUGGCUGAUGUCUGAAGACAGUUUUGGUUAUCUAUCACAGUGUAGAGGGUGUGAAAUAGGCACCAGAAAGGUAGAGACCAAGGAAGCUGAUAAGCAUUCUCCAGUGCCCAGAAGGAUGCCCUCCAAGAAGGAGGUAUUUGGUCUCAAGUGUCAUGAUGGGAAAAGUCUAAUCUAUACUUGUUUAAAAUGUGUACAUUGCUCUAUGCACCGCUAUCUUAAUUCCUAAUCAGAAUCAUGCUCACCCAUUUCCCAGACAACAUGCUCACUAGAAUUAAUCUUACUUUUGAAAAUAUUCCCAAACAGCAACCUACAUAUUCAAAUGUGACAUUUAAACCCUGUGAGAUGCUAAAUGCUGUUGGGCUCUUACAAGGGAGGGGAGUUCUGUCAUUGCCAGAACAGCUAAUACAAAAGAAUCACCAAGAACUAUCAAAUGUUCUGGAAUGUCGAGGAAUAUCCCAUUUGCAUGGUCACUAUUUGGUUUAGAAAGGUGUUUACUCAAGCCUGAAUUGGCAGGUGAAAUUUCUCUCGCCUUAAUGGGCCACUUCAAUAUAUAUACACUCACCCGUACCCUUGUGUGCCCCCUGUGCGCUCAACCUCUAGAAUGAGUGGCACUCUUUCCUGGUUUGCAAGUCCAUAGUCUGGCUAGACAAUCUACUUUCUGGAGACUUCUACUUUCAGCUUAAUCUUGUCAGGAGUUGACAGAUAGGGAUGGCUUCCUAGGAUCUCAGAAUGUUGUUUGACAGGAAUGUCACCUCUCUGGAGAGGGAUUUCCAAUAGCUCUUCCAUCAGUCAGACUUUCAAUGGGAAGGUCUCUCUCUCUCUCUCUCUCUCUCUCUCUCUCUCUCUCUCUCUCUCUCUCUCUCUCUCUAAUAUAUACCAGACCUUUCCAUUUUAGCCCUCUUUCGAGGUACUAGGUGAAGUAAAACUUUGCUGGGCUGUCCUGUCUUCACUGUAUGAUUAAUACCACUCCCCUUUCAACUGCUUGGUGCUGGGAGAACCUCCACUCCCAGAAGAAACUAUCAAAAGUGUCUCCUGACUUUGCUUAAAGGUUCAUUGAGGGAUAAAAUCAGUCCCACGUGAGAAUCACUGAUUUAUCCUAAGGCUCCUGGAAAGUCCUUCAAGUUCCCUGAGCUGGCUUGAUUUGAAUAGAUGUUGAGGGGGUGGGGCUCACAGCCUUCCUGAUAAAUGGAGGUUAUAGAGCCAUGUGGGUAUCACUGCUGCAAAGUUAGGGACUUGGGUCAAUAAGUCGGGGAGCCUCUCUCUCUUAAGGACAUGUCCUGUACAGCACGGAAUCCCUUGGAACAUAUUUAACAGGAUUUCAAUUACAGUAGCAAGCUCUAGGGGACAACAUUUCUCCCUGACAUCAGCUGACGACUGGCCAUCUAAGGGAUUCUUAGGUCACAUCUGAUUCAAGGCAACCACGGAGAAGGGAACAUGGCUUUCUCAGUGUCCUGCAUGCAGAACUGCACAACAGGUAAGCUGGCUGGGCGAGGGGUUUUGACUAAGCUCAAAGAAAACAAACAGCACACAAGUUUGGGGGAAAAAAGUCUUUUGUUCGGGUAGGCUUCGGGUAGGGGUGAGUUAAAGGGGGGCCUGUGUUAUGUAUUAGAAUUUGAGAGUAGGGAUUGCAUUGAAAGAAAGCUGGGAUUUCCCUGGGGAAGGGAGACAUAAAAGGCGCAACUUUCAGAUGCCCAGAGGCCUUUUAUUUCUGUUGCACAGGACAGAGGGAACCGUGCAGGGAGGAAGAGAGAGAGAGCAAGAAAGCGAAAAGCGAGAAAGGAAAGAUUGGAUCCUGGGUGGGAAGGGCAAGACCCCUUUCUUUGUCACUGCAGGGCCAAAGUGUGAUGACAAAUGCCCCCUAAAAUUUUUCCAAGUUUAAUGCUUUGUAAUAAAUCCAGAUCUACUCUUUUUCCCCUUGUAAAGGAAAAGGCAAUAUGAACAUAUUUAUUUAAAUAGAUGUUUAAGAAUUUUGUGGAAUUUCAAAUGCACAUUCCCUUUCCCCACCUCAUCCAGAGUUCCCCGACCACCAACAUCAACAGCUCCCUCAUCCCGUCAGCUCUCUGGCUACCUGUGUCUGCCUUCUCACCUACAUACAGGCUAUGACCAUUUCGUCUUUUCCUCAACCAUCACACUAUCAGGUCAUUUUGGUUUUUUUUUUUUUUGUCUGUUUGUUUUUAAUGUUUUGGAAGUGGCUUAGGGGCAAAAUUGCUUUAAUCUUUUCUUGUUCCAAUGUUUAGAUAGCCCACCUUCUGGAUGGCAUCUCAAUUUAGGAUGCCUCCCUAAAAUGUGUGCAUGGAGGAUUUUAUGUCUGGACACUGAGAAUGGCAAUUAAUUGAGGACCCCGUGAGUCAAUUUGCAGAGGAUGCUUUUGUACGUGUUUCAGUUUGGUGGAGGGGGGGGGGGGCUUGUCAAUUUGAGGCGUGGCUGUGAAUGGACUCAUUGAGGUUUCCUUAACACCACAGAGGCUGGGGUUUGCAGAGGCGAUGAUAACAAAGGAGAGAUCAGCGCCUCUCUGGAGUCCCCCAUGUGUCUUUGAAAUGGAGUCCUGCCAAGCUAAUCUGCUCCAUGUCACCUGCUGGGUUCAGUGACUCUGGAAAAAGCUGUCUUCCUAGAGCUUUCCCCUCAAGGAGACAAUGAUCCCUUGGAAUUUCAGAGUCUACCUGGAGCUUUCAAUAUCACCUUCUCGCUAAAGGCCUCAACCAGGGUUGGCCCUUCCAACCCAUGGCACACACAGACUGUCUCCUUUAGCGAGUUUCUGGCCACUGCGAACUUGAAUGCUCAGCCACAGAAGAGGAGCGUUUGUUUCAACAGCUGCUUUGAUGAUGAAAAGCUGGAGCUAUGCCUCCCAGCACAGCUGGUUCUGACUGUCUGUCUUUACCUUACCCUGCUUUUCUCUAAUGCCCAGUUGUGGCCCACUGAUGUUUUGUAAAACAAAAGCACAAACUCCAAGAAGGGCAGGAGAAGACUAGUUACCGGAGACAUGCUGUGCAGGGGCUUCUCGGUGCUGACACAGGAGUCUUCUCCCUUUACUUUUAUAAAUUUGAUUUUGUCUAGUUUAUAACUAAUUGUUAAAUAUGCACUGUUGCCAGGUUGUCCAUCUGGUAUUGCAGUCUUUAGGGUGACUAUGGUUAAUAGAUUUAUAAAUUAAUACCCUUAAAAGAGAGGCUUCCAGCCCCUUGUUUACAUUAUAUGUGUUUGGGAUUUGUUUUGGCUGGUGUGGGGAUAGAAUGUUGGGCCCAGUCCCAGCUACAACAUGCUUUGUCACUGAGCUGUACUUAUCCCUAACUACUUUUUAACCUUUCCAGAGAAUCUUUGUAAAAAGGUGUGGCUAAGCUGUUCAGGCUGACCUUUAAUUUGCCUGGAAGCCAAGGCCUUCAAAAUUUGGGAUUCUCCUGCCUCAAGUUCCCUUGUUGCUGAAAUUAAAGGCCUGUGUCACCAGUGUGUGUAUGUGUAUGUAUGUGUCUAGUGUUGGCAACAUAUUACCAAUGACUUUCAUAUUGGAAACCAGCAACACAGAAUAGUUUCCUCACUGUAAGAUGCUGUAGGUCUGUGGAUCAAGGCAUAACUUCUUCCACAGAGGACCAAUGGGUUGCAGAUCUGGACAGGAAUGAUGGGCUCUGGACUAAGCCAGUGUGUGCUCUAUCUUAUUUACUGCUAACUGUACACAUUUGUUUUAGCUGCCAAUUUUCUAGUUUACAAACUCUGGAAAGGGUUUUAAAACUGUUCGCAACAACAAUUCCACUGCAAGGGAAUGGUAAGAAGCAGGGAAGACAGCACCCACUCCACACGCUCCAGAUGUUUUUAUUGGCCUCUAUUAAAUAACAAAGGGGAUCUGUGCCCUUAGAGCACAACUUCCCCAGAAGGAGCCCAGACCAAUCAGUCACAUUAGGGACCUAAUGUGGGCAGACUCUAGGCCAGGACUUAAAAAAACAAAAACAAAACAACAAUAACAACUAAGGUUCUGCUUCCACAGUGUUGGGUGUCUUAUUUUAAAAUGAUUGGACAACUUCACAUCUAAUCGGAUUGCUAAUUUUUUUUUAUUGAGCGAAUAUCAUCAGCAACAGUGAAAUUGUGGGUUCUAGUAGCAAUGUAUUCUUUUAUUUUUAGCUGAUGGAGCUGCCAGCCAAAGAAGUGUUGAGUCUUUGAUUACAGGAGCUUGAAUUUCUCCAUUUUUUGCUAAAAGUUCCCUUUGUCCUUUGUAAAGCACGACUCUGACGUGGUCCUUGCUGUACCUGUACCUGUCAUGUGUGUAACAGGACCCAACCCACAAUAGGCACCGAAAAUAUCUGCUGGGAAAUGAAUGGCUUUUAUUUGGAAGAUAUCAAGGUGACAUCUUUAAUCCCUUAUAUUCUUCCCCAAGACGAACCUUCUGGAAAAAGUCUUUGCUGAUGUCCAGGAUUCCCCCCCCCCCCAGCCAAUUACUCUUGGAUGUAACCCCUUCUUCCCCCUCCACAUUCCAGUGUUUUCAUCCCUCUCCUCAUUGGCCAGACAACUCCUGAGUCAGGUAGAGGGCAUAGCUUUCCCUGAGAGCACGUCCUCCCAUCUCUGGGCUUUGUAAAUACAUAAGAAUAGAGAUCUGCUAAGCCACCCUGAACAAGCUGUCAAAAGAUGUGAUGAAACAGCUGUCCACAGAGGUGACACAGUCACACAGCCAUCAUCAACAGAUAAGCAAUAUUUACAGUCUGUUGAGUUUCUUUUUCAAUAAGUAGAUGCAGACAAGCAUUCUGAUGGCUCUAAACACUGGACAGAGGUGUUUUAUAGUUUGUCUUAAUCUAUAUUGAACUUAGUGAAAAUGUGAUUUUUCUAUGUCAUGGUCUUUUGAAUAAUAAAAAAAGCCAAAACAAUAACUAUUUAGCUGAGAUUGAGGAAGAGGGCCAGGAAAUCCAAGGCCAACCUAGGCUCCAGCAAGAUGUUGCCUCAAAAUAAAGCCAACAGGUAGUGAGGAUCUUUUGUUUUUAAAAGGCUAGGUGUGUGUUUAAGACUCGAGUUCAUUUAGGAAAAAUAUCAUUUACAUUUUUAUAUUUAAUUGCAUUUUCUUCAAAGUUGAAAUCUUACAUAAUUGCCCUACUCUGACCAAAAAUUUCUCUGUAACAUGAAAGAAAGAGUUGUUUUGCCUUUACAUGACAUUUCUGAAACAUCUGAUUAUGGGAACUUGCCAAUAGCAGCAAUAAUUUAGGAUUUUCUGUUAUUGGACUCAAAUGCACAGUGUCGGAAUCAGUCUAGCAUUGUUCAGGGAGGAUGGUAUUUGAAUUUCAGGAAUCUCUUAGCAAAGGUCUCAUAACUCACCGAACAUAACCUGUUUCAUGUCUCUCAAAACAGGAUUAAUGGAGUGGACAGCCGCCACGAGCAGUCUUGUCACUAAUGUAUAGUAACAUGUAAUGUGGUGUAGCUAUAGUAACAUGUAAUGUGGUGUAGCAGUGGUCCCCUCACGGGACAGCAAAAAGGCUGGCGCCCAUAGACAUGCUCAAUAAGGUUAGCUAUGGUUAUUGUUAUCUACUUUGCAAUGCUAUUUUUUUUUGUCACAUCUUUAUAAACCUCUAACUCAUACAAGUAGCUCUCCCCUCCCCUCAUUUUGGAGUUUUUUGUGUGUGUCAAGUACUACUACCAGCAAGGGGGUGACGUGGAGGAUGGAUCGAGGCAUAAUCACCUGAAUACAUAUUUUGGCAAAGGGGAGGCUGCCUUGGAACUUCCACCUUCAUUGCUAUAAUAUUUAUUUGUCUUUAAUAAUAGAUUCUUUUUGAAGUGUAUCGAAGGUGAACAAAUAAAAAUAACAAACGGAAGCCUUCUGCCGUUGUCUGGCCAGAGACCAGGUGGACCCCAGUGUGGACGCUUUAGUGCUUUGUCUCGGAAUCUUCUCUUCUAGCCCAUCUUUCUUUGUCUUCUGGGUGGGUUUUUUUUUUUUUCAAUAUCUUCAAAUUCAGUAAGCAAAACUUUCUGAUUUCAUAGUUGAAACUCAAUGAAUCAAGACAACAUUAUCAGGAAAGGAAAAGCUACCCAACGCAAGGUUAAGCCUCACAGAUUUCUGUUCAUCAUCUCUAAUUCAGAACUGAUUUAACCUUUAACCUUUCAAACGCACACUUCAGCUCAGCCAUCAUGACAUUUAAUACAUGGCUACUUGGAGUUAGGAGGGGGGUGAUAGAGCGAGUUUACAAAAUUUAAAUAUAUAUAUAUAUAUAUUAAUCAAAAGAAACAUACUUUCACUUCUAAAUCUUAUAUUUGCCUUCAUAGUCAGCUCUCACACACUAGAUUUUAGACAUUGCUUAUGAAAUUAAAUAACUUGGAAAAAUAAAUACGCUUUAUUAUAUAAAGACAUAUAAAUCUGUACCACCCAAAAUAUUCAGAAAUACGUAAAUGUGACUGCUUAAAACUAUUUUCCAGAAAAUACGGUUGUGAUAUUUAUGACCUUUGAUUCACGAUAUAAUGAGAUUGUCAAACACUGACGUCAAACCUUUCGUCUUUCUACCUAUAGGCACUGCACAGUGUGAUAUGAAAAUGAGGUAGACACAAAUCCUUAAGUUGGCCAGGCUGAAACACAAGCAUAGUCCCCUUCCCCGCUCAUGGCCUCUCAUCAUUCAGAGCUAUGAGCACAGCUCUUAAAGGCUCAGUGAAUACACUGAGUUGCCACGAAAACACCCAAACAAGCAAUUUCUGUAGAGAAGAACCACUAUCUACAAGAGACCAGUGAACAGAAAUACAGGGCAAUGCAAAAACAAAUGCCACCGAACUACCCUGGGGGUGUGGCGGUGGCAGU
Alexandromys fortis (reed vole) is the source of this 13448-nucleotide long non-coding RNA. RefSeq lists it as uncharacterized. The transcript has 4 exons. The record is from RefSeq and is a predicted model, not a curated record. NCBI's taxonomy places the organism in Eukaryota, Metazoa, Chordata, Mammalia, Rodentia, Cricetidae.